Molecule: small RNA, 28 nt
Filed under: Bombyx mori (domestic silkworm)
Lineage: Eukaryota; Metazoa; Arthropoda; Insecta; Lepidoptera; Bombycidae
Description: ovarian small RNA-2310
Source: RNAcentral
UGUGCUAGUCCGCAAUGAUUGCAGGGGA